RNAcentral lists this ribosomal RNA (253 nucleotides) under uncultured bacterium. RNAcentral's name for it is "partial 16S ribosomal RNA". It matches the Rfam family "Bacterial small subunit ribosomal RNA", at positions 524 to 776 of the family's 1533-position model. The record is from RNAcentral.
UACGUAGGGUGCGAGCGUUGUCCGGAAUUAUUGGGCGUAAAGGGCUCGUAGGCGGUUUGUCGCGUCGGGAGUGAAAACCCAGGGCUUAACUCUGGGCUGGCUUUCGAUACGGGCAGACUAGAGGUAUGCAGGGGAGAACGGAAUUCCUGGUGUAGCGGUGAAAUGCGCAGAUAUCAGGAGGAACACCGGUGGCGAAGGCAGCUCGCUGGGACGUGACUGACGCUGAGACGCGAAAGCGUGGGGAGCAAACAGG